Non-coding RNA from Pelobates cultripes (western spadefoot toad), 235 nucleotides. The record is from the annotation of a GenBank genome assembly. NCBI's taxonomy places the organism in Eukaryota, Metazoa, Chordata, Amphibia, Anura, Pelobatidae.
CUUUACUAUAUUUUUUUACAGACAUACCCAUUAAAAAGUCUGACUAUUUGUGUGGUGAACCCCACUUCUUAUCGGUACAGUGGUACAACCCACUUGUAUAAUUUAGUGGUCUACCCCACUGAAUAUUGUGUGCCGCCCUUACAUAUCAACUACGUUGACUUUGGUGAUCCCCAUUUAUAAAUUUUACCAAACACACUUGGGUGAACCCCAUUUAAUACCCUGUCUUACAUUUAUU